Molecule: ribosomal RNA, 253 nt
Filed under: uncultured Flexispira sp.
Lineage: Bacteria; Pseudomonadati; Campylobacterota; Epsilonproteobacteria; Campylobacterales; Helicobacteraceae
Description: partial 16S ribosomal RNA
Rfam family: Bacterial small subunit ribosomal RNA
Source: RNAcentral
UACGGAGGGUGCAAGCGUUACUCGGAAUCACUGGGCGUAAAGAGCGCGUAGGCGGGAUAGCAAGUCAGAUGUGAAAUCCUAUGGCUUAACCAUAGAACUGCAUUUGAAACUAUGAGUCUAGAGUGUGGGAGAGGUAGGUGGAAUUCUUGGUGUAGGGGUAAAAUCCGUAGAUAUCAAGAGGAAUACUCAUUGCGAAGGCGACCUACUGGAACAUUACUGACGCUCAUGCACGAAAGCGUGGGGAGCAAACAGG